RNAcentral lists this ribosomal RNA (222 nucleotides) under uncultured bacterium. Its description in RNAcentral is "partial 16S ribosomal RNA". It matches the Rfam family "Bacterial small subunit ribosomal RNA", at positions 15 to 216 of the family's 1533-position model. The record is from RNAcentral.
GAUCAUAGCGUCAGGAUGAACGCUGGCGGCGUGCUUAACACAUGCAAGUCGAACGAAGCACUUUACCUGAUUUCCUUCGGGGAUGAUUGUUCUGUGACUGAGUGGCGGACGGGUGAGUAACGCGUGGAUAACCUGCCUCACACAGGGGGAUAACAGUUGGAAACGACUGCUAAUACCGCAUAAGCGCACAGCACCGCAUGGUGCAGUGUGAAAAACUCCGGU